GGGCGGGUGGCGAAACUGGUAGACGCACUAGACUCAAAAUCUAGCUCCCGCGAGGGAAUGAGAGUUCGAUUCUCUCCCCGCCCA
Molecule: transfer RNA, 84 nt
Organism: Phormidium ambiguum
Lineage: Bacteria; Bacillati; Cyanobacteriota; Cyanophyceae; Oscillatoriales; Oscillatoriaceae
Rfam family: tRNA
About the family: Transfer RNA (tRNA) molecules are approximately 80 nucleotides in length.
Source: Rfam